CUGUUUUUAUCUAUGUAUGGACCUUACAGUUGAUUAACUACAAAUGCUAAACUUGAUUUCUAGAUGUUUAUAAAUUUGAUCCCGAUUUUGAAACAAAUGAAGAACAUUAGAAAUCACCGCGAACAGAAAUAUUAAGGUCAAACAAUGAAGACGAAUCAGAUAAUGAUGAUGAUAAAGGAUAAGGUAAAGAAAUUUAAUUUAUAAUUAUUAUUGUUAGAUUAAUUAUUUUAAUUUUUUUUUGUCAGUUGCGGUUUGCACUUUGCUCAUCGUACACGUAAUUAUUACGCUCCGCUUAAUUGUCACGUUCCCAUUUCUUUUUCGUGUCCGAAUGUGUCGUGUUUAAUAUGUAAAGAAUCAUAAUUCAUCUACUUUUUGCUUUCUUUACAAGAAAGCAAAAAGUAGAUGAAGGGGUGCGUCUUCGGGCGUUCUUUUUCUUAAAUGGAAAUUGAAUAAUUCAGAACUAUAUAUCAUAUA
Cinara cedri is the source of this 474-nucleotide non-coding RNA. NCBI's taxonomy places the organism in Eukaryota, Metazoa, Arthropoda, Insecta, Hemiptera, Aphididae. The record is from the annotation of a GenBank genome assembly.